CACAAGUAUGCUGGAGCUGAGCAUGAGGGUAUCCAUCCAGCUGUACUGUAAAGCCAUUGCUGCAGUGCUCCUAGAAAUGGUUCAGGAUACCUAGAGACAAAUGAUAUGGAAAAAGGCCUCCAUGACAGGUCCCUACUGGCACUGACUGUACAAGCAGGAGGACACCUAGGCAGAAGACGUCUCCUUCUUCCUCCCUCCCUCCCAGGAGUUGCUCUCCAGUCACCUCUGCAAGCCUGUGUAUUACCUAUGUUUCUGAAAGGAAGAGUUGACAGAGUAUUUAAUUUUGAAUUUUGAAAAAAACAAAUUGUUUCACUUAAAAUCUGAUUGCCCUGC
Molecule: long non-coding RNA, 333 nt
Filed under: Manacus vitellinus (golden-collared manakin)
Lineage: Eukaryota; Metazoa; Chordata; Aves; Passeriformes; Pipridae
Description: lncRNA (ENSMVIG00005018820.1)
Source: RNAcentral